GACGAACGCUGGCGGCGUGCUUAACACAUGCAAGUCGAACGGAAAGGCCCUGCUUUUGUGGGGUGCUCGAGAGGCGAACGGGUGAGUAACACGUGAGUAACCUGCCCUUGACUUUGGGAUAACUUCAGGAAACUGGGGCUAAUACCGGAUAGGAGCUCCUGCUGCAUGGUGGGGGUUGGAAAGUUUCGGCGGUUGGGGAUGGAAUGGCGGCUUAUCAGCUGGUUGGUGGGGUAGUGGCUUACCAAGGCUUUGACGGGUAGCCGGCCUGGGAGGGGGACCGGCCACAUGGGGACUGCGGUACGGCCCAGAAUGCUACGGGAGGCAGCGGUGGAGAAUAUUGCAGAAUGGGCGGAAGCCUGAGGCAGCAACGCCGCGUGCGGGAUGACGGCCUUCGAGUUGUAAACCGCUUUCUCCUGUGACGAAGCGUGAGUGACGGUAAUGGGUAAGGAAGCACCGGCUAACUACGUG
This 468-nucleotide ribosomal RNA is filed under the name uncultured bacterium. Its description in RNAcentral is "partial 16S ribosomal RNA". It matches the Rfam family "Bacterial small subunit ribosomal RNA", at positions 28 to 507 of the family's 1533-position model. The record is from RNAcentral.